CAGUUUUUUGAUGAUGAGUGUAUUUAGAUGAAAUGUGGAAAAAAGAUAAAAGAGACCAACAAAACCGAGACCAUUAAACACAUCUUAAUCUUUAAACUGCAUUCUUCUUAAUCCUUCCGUUAACUUCCUGCUGUGUGCAUGUCAUUAUAUGCAGAAUUGACUGUGGAGUUUACCAAACACCUGAGGCGCCCAAGGACCUGCUCUUUAAGAAGGACUUGGCCAGUCCUCUGGAGAGGAGAGAUCAAGGUAGUGUCAAUCAACGUGAGAGUUGUAGGGAGGGGUAUUUGAGACUACAUUGUUUUGCGUUUUGCAGUAAAAUAAUGUAUGCAUUCUAUAAUACAGGAUUUUGAAUUAUGCAUUGUUCUGUUUUGUUCUGUUUGCAGUGGAAAAUGACAAAGUCGGAAGUGCGUCCAACCAAGCUGGGUCACUUUUCUCAGACACAAAACCAAAGGAGGGAUACCAAAAACAAGAAGACGAAAGGAAAGAGGAGAAGAAGAAGCUACCCGAACGAGACGUCUACACUUUUCCAGGUGACUCGGACCCGGAGAGUCCACCUCCAGGGCCGUGGGCACACUGCACCUUCAUCCAGCGCCGGAGAAAGAAGAGAGCUUUACUGAGACCUUUCUCUGGACUGAACACCUGGCAACGCACAACUGGGGCGAACAGGAAAACCAGGUUAAUCCCGGCCAGGACGAAGAGUCGGGCGAAGGUGGUGAACGAUGAAGGAGGGGUGUUCGAUUUCAAGGAGGAGGAAGAUGAGGACGAGGACAAAGUCCAAGAGGCGGAGAUUGGACAAGGACAACGGGGAGAUCUGUGCCAGGAUAUUUUUACUUGUGUAGAAUGUAGCAUUUACUUUAAAAGACGAGCACAUCUGCGGGAACACAUGCGAGAGCAUGUCCCAGAUGGCAGGAGAAAGGGACAGGGUGGUGAGGAGGGCGUUAGGAGGAGGCGAGCCAAAAAAACUGGCUUUGAGUGCAUGGAGUGUGGUCAGGAAUUCUCAGACAGGCUGGUGUUGGUGGAUCAUCACAGGCGGCAUCAAGAGGCACGGCGCAAAAUCCUGGAAGAGAUUGGAAAGCUGAACGAGGGAGGGACGGGGACGGAAGAGCAGGCCAAUCGCAGGAAGCCAAGGCGUCUAGCCGCCCAAGAACCUUCCACCACCCCCGUCUGCGGACAGUUUGUCUGUCUCAAGUGCAACUACAGCUCUGAUGUACCUCAAGAACUUGCAGACCACGCUAAGACUCAUACAACUCGAGCAAAGGCUGGUUCUCCAAGAGCCGGUUCUCCAAGAGCCGGUUCUCCAAGAGCCGGUUCUCCAAGAGCCGCUUCCCCAAAAGCAGCUUCCCCAAAAGCAGCUUCCCCUAAAGCAGCUUCCCCUAAAGCAGCUUUACCUAAAGCAGCUUCCCCAAAAGCAGCUUCCCCAAGAGUCGCUUCUCCGAGAGAUGCUUCCCGUUCCCAGCCAAGAUCCCACAAAAAAGGACAGACACGAUCUUCUGGAACUGGUACCUCAAACCCUGCCAACACACUUCCUACAGAGAGGUAUCCAACGAGAGCCUCGGUCCACGCUGUGGAAAAACAGCCUCAACAGCCUGAAGAGCCUCAAGUUGACCCCUCUCAGGCCAGUGCCAGUGACCGUCCUCCCAUAAACGAGGGUGACUCCAUUGCAGGGUCCAUCCAGGAUCGCACCGACUCUGCAACUCCAGAAGAACCAGCCACAAAACCAGAACCAGGGCCAGAACCAGAUCCAGAGCCACAACUGGAGUUAGCAAGUGCUGAUCCUGAUACUGAUGCUGCUGCUCCCCCAGAGGGUCCAUCACUAAAGGAGGAAUCUCCUGCAGAAGGGUCAACUAAAGCCGGUUCAGUAGAGGAGACCGUCCCAAAGCCCCAGUCUCCUGUAACAGUACCUUCAAAUCCAGCAUCUUCAAAUCCAGCUCCCUCAAAUUCAGCACCUUCAAAUACAAGAGCUGCACCACGCCGCAGGGAAGUAGCGUACAAGAGUACAGGGAAACGGCGCUCGAAGCGGGUUGUGAGGGACGCGAUGGGCAGGACCCGAGCAAGUAGCAGACUGGAGUCGAAGCAUACUGAGAGUAACGAUGCUGAGAACCCAAUCCAAAACACUGAGCAGACAGUAGAGCAGGACCAAAAAGAGGCUGCACCACUACCAGAGCCAGAGGCUGAUCCACAGUUGGCUAAAGAAAUGGAAGAGUCUUCUGCUGAGACCUCUGACCUCAAACCUUCCCCUCCACCAAAGACCAGUGAGGAGACCAAAGAAGAAAGCAAAGAGGAAAUCCCUCCAGACGACACAAACGAAGAGUGUGGUAAAGAUACUCCUGCUGCAGAAGCCACAGAUCAUGCUGAUAAGGAUGAUAAGGAUGAUAAGGAUAAGGAAAAUGAUGGCAACGAGGAAGAUGAAGAUGAUGAAGAGGAAGACGAUGAGGAUGUCUUUAGUCGUCUACUUGAUGCCUUAACUGAAGAGGAGGAUGAGGAGGACGAGGAGGGUGUUUCAUUAAAGAGCGUGGGAAGGAAGUG
Molecule: long non-coding RNA, 2526 nt
Filed under: Astyanax mexicanus (Mexican tetra)
Lineage: Eukaryota; Metazoa; Chordata; Actinopteri; Characiformes; Acestrorhamphidae
Description: lncRNA (ENSAMXG00005002345.1)
Source: RNAcentral